RNAcentral lists this ribosomal RNA (1392 nucleotides) under uncultured organism. RNAcentral's name for it is "16S ribosomal RNA". It matches the Rfam family "Bacterial small subunit ribosomal RNA". The record is from RNAcentral.
AACGCUAGCGACAGGCUUAACACAUGCAAGUCGAGGGGCAGCGGGGGUAGCGAUACCCGCCGGCGACCGGCGCACGGGUGAGUAACGCGUAUGCAACUUGCCUAUCAGAGGGGGAUAACCCGGCGAAAGUCGGACUAAUACCGCAUGAAGCAGGGGCCCCGCAUGGGGAUAUUUGCUAAAGAUUCAUCGCUGAUAGAUAGGCAUGCGUUCCAUUAGGCAGUUGGCGGGGUAACGGCCCACCAAACCGACGAUGGAUAGGGGUUCUGAGAGGAAGGUCCCCCACAUUGGUACUGAGACACGGACCAAACUCCUACGGGAGGCAGCAGUGAGGAAUAUUGGUCAAUGGCCGAGAGGCUGAACCAGCCAAGUCGCGUGAGGGAUGAAGGUUCUAUGGAUCGUAAACCUCUUUUAUAAGGGAAUAAAGUGCGGGACGUGUCCCGUUUUGUAUGUACCUUAUGAAUAAGGAUCGGCUAACUCCGUGCCAGCAGCCGCGGUAAUACGGAGGAUCCGAGCGUUAUCCGGAUUUAUUGGGUUUAAAGGGUGCGUAGGCGGCCUUUUAAGUCAGCGGUGAAAGUCUGUGGCUCAACCAUAGAAUUGCCGUUGAAACUGGGGGGCUUGAGUAUGUUUGAGGCAGGCGGAAUGCGUGGUGUAGCGGUGAAAUGCAUAGAUAUCACGCAGAACCCCGAUUGCGAAGGCAGCCUGCCAAGCCAUUACUGACGCUGAUGCACGAAAGCGUGGGGAUCAAACAGGAUUAGAUACCCUGGUAGUCCGCGCAGUAAACGAUGAUCACUAGCUGUUUGCGAUACACUGUAAGCGGCACAGCGAAAGCGUUAAGUGAUCCACCUGGGGAGUACGCCCGCAACGGUGAAACUCAAAGGAAUUGACCGGGGGCCCGACCAGCCGGAGGAACAUGUGGUUUAAUUCGAUGAUAGCCAAGGAACCUUUCCCGGGGUUUGAACGCAUUCGGACCGAGGUGGAAACCCCUUUUCUAGCAAUAGCGGUUUGCGAGGUGCUGCAUGGUUGUCGUCAGCUCGUGCCGUGAGGUGUCGGCUUAAGUGCCAUAACGAGCGCAACCCUUGCCACUAGUUACUAACAGGUAAAGCUGAGGACUCUGGUGGGACUGCCAGCGUAAGCUGCGAGGAAGGCGGGGAUGACGUCAAAUCAGCACGGCCCUUACAUCCGGGGCGACACACGUGUUACAAUGGCGUGGACAAAGGGAGGCCACCUGGCGACAGGGAGCGAAUCCCCAAACCACGUCUCAGUUCGGAUCGGAGUCUGCAACCCGACUCCGUGAAGCUGGAUUCGCUAGUAAUCGCGCAUCAGCCAUGGCGCGGUGAAUACGUUCCCGGGCCUUGUACACACCGCCCGUCCACCCAUGGGAGCCGGGGGUUC